GAUGAACGCUGGCGGCGUGCUUAACACAUGCAAGUCGAACGAAGCACUUUAACCUGAUUCUUCGGAUGAAGGUUUUUGUGACUGAGUGGCGGACGGGUGAGUAACGCGUGGGUAACCUGCCUCAUACAGGGGGAUAACAGUUAGAAAUGACUGCUAAUACCGCAUAAGACCACAGAGCCGCAUGGCUCGGUGGGAAAAACUCCGGUGGUAUGAGAUGGACCCGCGUCUGAUUAGGUAGUUGGUGGGGUAACGGCCUACCAAGCCAACGAUCAGUAGCCGACCUGAGAGGGUGACCGGCCACAUUGGGACUGAGACACGGCCCAAACUCCUACGGGAGGCAGCAGUGGGGAAUAUUGCACAAUGGGGGAAACCCUGAUGCAGCGACGCCGCGUGAGCGAAGAAGUAUUUUGGUAUGUAAAGCUCUAUCAGCAGGGAAGAAAAUGACGGUACCUGACUAAGAAGCACCGGCUAAAUACGUG
RNAcentral lists this ribosomal RNA (479 nucleotides) under uncultured bacterium. RNAcentral describes it as "partial 16S ribosomal RNA". It matches the Rfam family "Bacterial small subunit ribosomal RNA", at positions 28 to 507 of the family's 1533-position model. The record is from RNAcentral.